UACGUAGGUGGCAAGCGUUGUCCGGAUUUAUUGGGUUUAAAGGGUGCGUAGGCGGCGCGGUAAGUCGGGUGUGAAAUCUUGGAGCUUAACUCCGAAACUGCAUUCGAUACUGCCGUGCUUGAGGACUGGAGAGGAGACUGGAAUUUACGGUGUAGCGGUGAAAUGCGUAGAUAUCGUAAGGAAGACCAGUGGCGAAGGCGGCCUGCUGGGCAGUUGCUGACACUGAGGCGCGACAGCGUGGGGAGCAAACAGG
This 253-nucleotide ribosomal RNA is filed under the name uncultured bacterium. RNAcentral describes it as "partial 16S ribosomal RNA". It matches the Rfam family "Bacterial small subunit ribosomal RNA", at positions 524 to 776 of the family's 1533-position model. The record is from RNAcentral.